RNAcentral lists this ribosomal RNA (497 nucleotides) under uncultured bacterium. RNAcentral's name for it is "partial 16S ribosomal RNA". It matches the Rfam family "Bacterial small subunit ribosomal RNA", at positions 28 to 507 of the family's 1533-position model. The record is from RNAcentral.
GAUGAACGCUGGCGGCGUGCCUAAUACAUGCAAGUCGAGCGAACAGACGAGGAGCUUGCUCCUCUGACGUUAGCGGCGGACGGGUGAGUAACACGUGGAUAACCUACCUAUAAGACUGGGAUAACUUCGGGAAACCGGAGCUAAUACCGGAUAAUAUAUUGAACCGCAUGGUUCAAUAGUGAAAGACGGUUUUGCUGUCACUUAUAGAUGGAUCCGCGCCGCAUUAGCUAGUUGGUAAGGUAACGGCUUACCAAGGCAACGAUGCGUAGCCGACCUGAGAGGGUGAUCGGCCACACUGGAACUGAGACACGGUCCAGACUCCUACGGGAGGCAGCAGUAGGGAAUCUUCCGCAAUGGGCGCAAGCCUGACGGAGCAACGCCGCGUGAGUGAUGAAGGUCUUCGGAUCGUAAAACUCUGUUAUUAGGGAAGAACAAAUGUGUAAGUAACUAUGCACGUCUUGACGGUACCUAAUCAGAAAGCCCCGGCUAACUACGUG